This 597-nucleotide ribosomal RNA is filed under the name uncultured Actinomycetes bacterium. RNAcentral's name for it is "uncultured actinobacterium partial 16S ribosomal RNA". The record is from RNAcentral. Lineage: Bacteria; Bacillati; Actinomycetota; Actinomycetes.
AAUUCGAUUCGUAUUACCGCGGCUGCUGGCACGUGGUUAGCCGGGGCUUCUUCUGGAGAUACCGUCACCCUCUGGGCUAUUCACCCGAGUAGCUUCGUCUCUCCUGAAAGGGGUUUACAACCCGAAGGCCUUCUUCCCUCACGCGGCGUCGCUGCGUCAGGCUUUCGCCCAUUGCGCAAGAUUCCCUACUGCUGCCUCCCGUAGGAGUCUGGGCCGUGUCUCAGUCCCAGUGUGGCUGAUCGUCCUCUCAGACCAGCUACGGAUCGUCGCCUUGGUGAGCCUUUACCUCACCAACAAGCUAAUCCGCCGCGGGCUCGUCCCCGACCGGAGGCCGAAGCUACCCUUUUCCAGCCGGCUCGAGAGCCAGAUGGGGCAUCCGGUAUUAAUCCAAGUUUCCCUGGGCUAUCCCGGUGUCGGGGGUUGAUUACCCACGUGUUACUCACCCGUUCGCCGCUGUCCCCUCGGCCGAAGCCCAGGUUCUCGCUCGACUUGCAUGUAUUAAGCGCGCCGCCAGCGUUCGUCCUGACCCAUGAUCAAACUCUAAUCACUAGUGAAUUCGCGGCCGCCUGCAGGUCGACCAUAUGGGAGAGCUCCCCA